GGUUCCAUGGUAUAAUGGUGAGUGAGCACUCUGGACUCUGAAUCCAUCGAUCUGAGUUCCAGUUUUGGUGGGACCU
This 76-nucleotide transfer RNA is filed under the name Loxodonta africana (African savanna elephant). It matches the Rfam family "tRNA". Rfam says of the family: Transfer RNA (tRNA) molecules are approximately 80 nucleotides in length. Their secondary structure includes four short double-helical elements and three loops (D, anti-codon, and T loops). Lineage: Eukaryota; Metazoa; Chordata; Mammalia; Proboscidea; Elephantidae. The record is from Rfam by way of RNAcentral.